Molecule: long non-coding RNA, 535 nt
Filed under: Malus domestica (apple)
Lineage: Eukaryota; Viridiplantae; Streptophyta; Magnoliopsida; Rosales; Rosaceae
Description: long non-coding RNA (MDOM_LNC016604)
Source: RNAcentral
UCUCUCUCUCUCUCACUUCAUUCCAAUUUUUUAUUGUUUUCACGUUUUAUUUGGUUGGUUUUAAUUUUUACUUUCACGUGCGAUAGUGAAAUGCGCUAGAAAGAUUCUUUAGAACAAACUAGCUUAUAUGCCUACAACCACAAGAAGUUGCAGCUUCCUAAUAAAUAAAUAAAUAAAAAAUGUGAAAGGUUCUGAAUUGAGGAUUUGGAUCCUCUCCUGAGCUAACGGAUUCUCCUGACCAAGUGUUAUGGACCGUUGGAUUUUCAUCCAACGGCUACAAACAGUGGGUCCUUUUAAAGUUAUAAUAAUUAUAACUGUUGGAUGAAAAUCUAACUGCCCAUAAGACUUGAUCAGGAGGAUUCUCUCCAUUAGCUCAGGAGAGGAUCCAAAUCCCUGAAUUGAUAUUAUGGGCUGGUGGGUUUGUUGUACUGUCGGGCGUGGUAAAAUGUGAAAGGUUCAGGAAAAUAUGGAUAAUCGUGACUUGUCAACAUGUCUCUACAUUAAAAAAAUAAAAUAAAAAAAAAGCUAGCUUAUG